GAUGAACGCUGGCGGCGUGCCUAAUACAUGCAAGUCGAGCGAACAGACGAGGAGCUUGCUCCUCUGACGUUAGCGGCGGACGGGUGAGUAACACGUGGAUAACCUACCUAUAAGACUGGGAUAACUUCGGGAAACCGGAGCUAAUACCGGAUAAUAUAUUGAACCGCAUGGUUCAAUAGUGAAAGACGGUUUUGCUGUCACUUAUAGAUGGAUCCGCGCCGCACUAGCUAGUUGGUAAGGUAACGGCUUACCAAGGCAACGAUGCGUAGCCGACCUGAGAGGGUGAUCGGCCACACUGGAACUGAGACACGGUCCAGACUCCUACGGGAGGCAGCAGUAGGGAAUCGUCCGCAAUGGGCGAAAGCCUGACGGAGCAACGCCGCGUGAGUGAUGAAGGUCUUCGGAUCGUAAAACUCUGUUAUUAGGGAAGAACAAAUGUGUAAGUAACUAUGCACGUCUUGACGGUACCUAAUCAGAAAGCCACGGCUAACUACGUG
RNAcentral lists this ribosomal RNA (497 nucleotides) under uncultured bacterium. Its description in RNAcentral is "partial 16S ribosomal RNA". It matches the Rfam family "Bacterial small subunit ribosomal RNA", at positions 28 to 507 of the family's 1533-position model. The record is from RNAcentral.